CACCAAUCAAGCCUGGCUUGGUGUUGGGCCCCGGGGAGACCCGGGCCCCAAAGUUCGCCGGCCGGACGUCCCGGAUCUCAGCGUUGUGGCAUCAAAACCCGCGGAGAGAUGGGGCGGCCGUGCCGUCACAAAACCCAUUUUCAUGAAA
RNAcentral lists this unclassified non-coding RNA (148 nucleotides) under uncultured Capnodiales. Its description in RNAcentral is "sequence contains ITS2". Lineage: Eukaryota; Fungi; Ascomycota; Dothideomycetes; Capnodiales. The record is from RNAcentral.